This 811-nucleotide ribosomal RNA is filed under the name bacterium. RNAcentral describes it as "bacterial SSU rRNA". It matches the Rfam family "Bacterial small subunit ribosomal RNA", at positions 23 to 859 of the family's 1533-position model. The record is from RNAcentral.
CUCAGGACGAACGCUGGCGGCGUGCUUAACACAUGCAAGUCGAACGGACCUUCGGGUUAGUGGCGAACGGGUGAGUAACACGUGGGUGAUCUGCCCUGCACUUUGGGAUAAGCCUGGGAAACUGGGUCUAAUACCGAAUAGGACCACGGCAUUCAUGUGCUGUGGUGGAAAGCUUUUGCGGUGUGGGAUGGGCCCGCGGCCUAUCAGCUUGUUGGUGGGGUAAUGGCCUACCAAGGCGACGACGGGUAGCCGGCCUGAGAGGGUGACCGGCCACACUGGGACUGAGAUACGCCCCAGACUCCUACGGGAGGCAGCAGUGGGGAAUAUUGCACAAUGGGCGCAAGCCUGAUGCAGCGACGCCGCGUGAGGGAUGACGGCCUUCGGGUUGUAAACCUCUUUCGCCAGGGACGAAGCGCAAGUGACGGUACCUGGAGAAGAAGGACCGGCCAACUACGUGCCAGCAGCCGCGGUAAUACGUAGGGUCCGAGCGUUGUCCGGAAUUACUGGGCGUAAAGAGCUCGUAGGUGGUUUGUCGCGUUGUUCGUGAAAACUCACAACUCAAUUGUGGGCGUGCGGGCGAUACGGGCAGACUGGAGUACUGCAGGGGAGACUGGAAUUCCUGGUGUAGCGGUGGAAUGCGCAGAUAUCAGGAGGAACACCGGUGGCGAAGGCGGGUCUCUGGGCAGUAACUGACGCUGAGGAGCGAAAGCGUGGGGAGCGAACAGGAUUAGAUACCCUGGUAGUCCACGCCGUAAACGGUGGGUACUAGGUGUGGGUUUCCUUCCUUGGGAUCCGUGCCGUAGCUAACGCA